CACAGUAGGGAAUCUUCCGCAAUGGACGAAAGUCUGACGGAGCAACGCCGCGUGAGUGAAGAAGGUUUUCGGAUCGUAAAACUCUGUUGUUAGGGAAGAACAAGUCAGGUAGUAACUGACCUGACCUUGACGGUACCUAACCAGAAAGCCACGGCUAACUACGUGCCAGCAGCCGCGGUAAUACGUAGGUGGCAAGCGUUGUCCGGAUUUAUUGGGCGUAAAGCGCUCGCAGGCGGUCUUUUAAGUCUGAUGUGAAAGCCCACGGCUUAACCGUGGAGGGUCAUUGGAAACUGGAGGACUUGAGUGCAGAAGAGGAGAGUGGAAUUCCAUGUGUAGCGGUGAAAUGCGUAGAGAUAUGGAGGAACACCAGUGGCGAAGGCGACUCUCUGGUCUGUAACUGACGCUGAGGAGCGAAAGCGUGGGUAGCGAACAGGAUUAGAUACCCUGGUAGUCCACGCCGUAAACGAUGAGUGCUAGGUGUUAGGGGGUUUCCGCCCCUUAGUGCUGAAGUUAACGCAUUAAGCACUCCGCCUGGGAGACCCGA
RNAcentral lists this ribosomal RNA (544 nucleotides) under uncultured bacterium. RNAcentral's name for it is "bacterial SSU rRNA". It matches the Rfam family "Bacterial small subunit ribosomal RNA", at positions 350 to 885 of the family's 1533-position model. The record is from RNAcentral.